This 55-nucleotide transfer RNA is filed under the name Phascolostrongylus turleyi. Its description in RNAcentral is "tRNA-Val". The record is from RNAcentral. Lineage: Eukaryota; Metazoa; Nematoda; Chromadorea; Rhabditida; Strongylidae.
AUGUAGUGUAGAGUUUGUAAUAGUUGUUGAACUUUUAGUUUAAUUUAGAAUAUUU